GUGGGGAAUAUUGCGCAAUGGACGAAAGUCUGACGCAGCGACGCCGCGUGUGGGAGGAAGGCCUUCGGGUUGUAAACCACUGUCAGAGGGGAAGAACACCGUCGGCCUGAACAGGGUCGGCGACUGACGGUACCCUCAGAGGAAGCGCCGGCUAACUCCGUGCCAGCAGCCGCGGUAAGACGGAGGGCGCAAGCGUUGUUCGGAAUUACUGGGCGUAAAGGGCAGGCAGGCGGUCCGUUAAGUCAUUUGUGAAAAUCCGGGGCUCAACCCCGCGAAAUGCAAAUGAUACUGGCGGACUGGAGACCGGUAGAGGCUAGCGGAAUUCCUGGUGUAGCGGUGGAAUGCGUAGAUAUCAGGAAGAACACCUGUGGCGAAGGCGGCUAGCUGGGCCGGGUCUGACGCUGAACUGCGAAAGCGUGGGGAGCAAACAGG
This 432-nucleotide ribosomal RNA is filed under the name uncultured bacterium. RNAcentral's name for it is "bacterial SSU rRNA". It matches the Rfam family "Bacterial small subunit ribosomal RNA", at positions 354 to 776 of the family's 1533-position model. The record is from RNAcentral.